UUACCGAGUUUACACUCCCAAACCCAAUGUGAACGUUACCAAACUGUUGCCUCGGCGGGAUCUCUGCCCCGGGUGCGUCGCAGCCCCGGACCAAGGCGCCCGCCGGAGGACCAACCAAAACUCUUUUUGUAUACCCCCUCGCGGGUUUUUUAUAAUCUGAGCCUUCUCGGCGCCUCUCGUAGGCGUUUCGAAAAUGAAUCAAAACUUUCAACAACGGAUCUCUUGGUUCUGGCAUCGAUGAAGAACGCAGCGAAAUGCGAUAAGUAAUGUGAAUUGCAGAAUUCAGUGAAUCAUCGAAUCUUUGAACGCACAUUGCGCCCGCCAGUAUUCUGGCGGGCAUGCCUGUCCGAGCGUCAUUUCAACCCUCGAACCCCUCCGGGGGGUCGGCGUUGGGGAUCGGCCCUGCCUUUGGCGGUGGCCGUCUCCGAAAUACAGUGGCGGUCUCGCCGCAGCCUCUCCUGCGCAGUAGUUUGCACACUCGCAUCGGGAGCGCGGCGCGUCCACAGCCGUUAAACACCCAACUUCUGAAAUGUUGACCUCGGAUCAGGUAGGAAUACCCGCUGAACUUAAGCAUAUC
Molecule: ribosomal RNA, 577 nt
Filed under: Trichoderma harzianum
Lineage: Eukaryota; Fungi; Ascomycota; Sordariomycetes; Hypocreales; Hypocreaceae
Description: eukaryotic LSU rRNA
Rfam family: 5.8S ribosomal RNA (bases 203-356)
Source: RNAcentral